RNAcentral lists this ribosomal RNA (226 nucleotides) under uncultured bacterium. RNAcentral's name for it is "partial 16S ribosomal RNA". It matches the Rfam family "Bacterial small subunit ribosomal RNA", at positions 107 to 334 of the family's 1533-position model. The record is from RNAcentral.
UGAGUAACGCGUAUGUAAUCUACCUGUAACAGAGGGAUAACCCGGAGAAAUCCGGACUAAUACCUCAUAGCACAUAUUAUUCGCAUGAAUUUUAUGUUAAAGAGACUCGGUUACAGAUGAACAUGCGUUCCAUUAGCUGGUUGGCGGGGUCACGGCCCACCAAGGCAACGAUGGAUAGGGGUUCUGAGAGGAAGGUCCCCCACACUGGUACUGAGACACGGACCAG